CGGGUGAGUAACGCGUGAGGAACCUGCCUCAAAGAGGGGGACAACAGUUGGAAACGACUGCUAAUACCGCAUAAGCCCACGGCUCGGCAUCGAGCAGAGGGAAAAGGAGUGAUCCGCUUUGAGAUGGCCUCGCGUCCGAUUAGCUAGUUGGCGAGGUAACGGCCCACCAAGGCAACGAUCGGUAGCCGGACUGAGAGGUUGAACGGCCACAUUGGGACUGAGACACGGCCCAG
This 233-nucleotide ribosomal RNA is filed under the name uncultured bacterium. RNAcentral's name for it is "partial 16S ribosomal RNA". It matches the Rfam family "Bacterial small subunit ribosomal RNA", at positions 103 to 334 of the family's 1533-position model. The record is from RNAcentral.